UUGAGGUAGAUCAGUUAACAACAGAAACUGGU
This 32-nucleotide non-coding RNA is filed under the name Macaca fascicularis (crab-eating macaque). RNAcentral also lists the same sequence under 1 other name. The record is from RNAcentral. Lineage: Eukaryota; Metazoa; Chordata; Mammalia; Primates; Cercopithecidae.